Molecule: long non-coding RNA, 917 nt
Filed under: Sorghum bicolor (sorghum)
Lineage: Eukaryota; Viridiplantae; Streptophyta; Magnoliopsida; Poales; Poaceae
Description: long non-coding RNA (SBIC_LNC004948)
Source: RNAcentral
AAUAUUUUAAACAGAUGCUGAUAACAGUCCUAUCGGCUAGACCAGAAUGGUUAGAAUAAAGAAGCAAAGAACACCACCGAUGAAGAGUUUACGUGUUCAACAGCGCCUGGAUCGUCGAUAUGGCGCGCAGACGGAUCUGAUUGGCUUCUUCUAUUUCCUUCACGCCAUCAUCGGCGGAGCCCUCCACUGGCUUCAGCUUCUUCUUCAUCUGCAGUGCUUUACGGCCACGGACAUUUCGCUCUUGUUCAAGAAGUUUGAUCGUCUCAGGCAGCUGGCUUUCCUCUUGUUGAGCUUGGGACAAGGCUUCUUCUACUUGCUUGAGUUCUGCCAACAGGGCUUCUCUUUUUGCCGAUAGGUCAAAAAUCUUGUGCUUCAGCGCAUCUCCUGAGGACUUCAAGAUGCCGAUGUUCUUGUGCUUCUCAUUGGCAAGGAGCUUCACUUUCAUCAUCUCCUCAGAAAGCUGAGCCUGAGCAGCUCUAUCGGCAAGACACUGGGUAGCCUUUUGAUAUUGCAGCUGACGGCUCUCUAGAUGUGCAGCUUGAAAAAGGAUUUCUUCGGCAUCGGCAGGAAUUUGGCCUCUGAGGAUCUUGAACAAGGCCUUGGUUGGGUCAGAGUCAUCAACUAGUUGGGCUGUGUCUUGAUGAAGGAAGGCCGAUAAUUCUUCUAACUUUGCCCUGAUCUCUGCUGAUGUGAUUCCGACUGCUCGGGAAGAACUUGCCUCCUCACCUUCAUCUUCAGAGAUGUCGAUGGCAAAGGAGAACAAGCUGUCAGGAGAGUCCUGUUCCUGAAAAAGAAAAAAAAAGAAUAAGUUAUUCUGUGAUCAAGCAUUGUUAAACGAUACAGGUAGAGGUUGGGUAAGUUACUUGCUUCAGGGCCAUCUCUCGCCUCUGACUGGAUGAUGCCGAUGGAACCACGGG